GCGUUUGUAGUCCAAGGGUUAGGAACUUAGGAUAAUUGCCUUCCAAGCAACAGACCCGGGUUCGAGUCCCGGCAAAUGCA
RNAcentral lists this transfer RNA (80 nucleotides) under Macleaya cordata. It matches the Rfam family "tRNA". Rfam says of the family: Transfer RNA (tRNA) molecules are approximately 80 nucleotides in length. Their secondary structure includes four short double-helical elements and three loops (D, anti-codon, and T loops). Lineage: Eukaryota; Viridiplantae; Streptophyta; Magnoliopsida; Ranunculales; Papaveraceae. The record is from Rfam by way of RNAcentral.